Aedes aegypti (yellow fever mosquito) is the source of this 306-nucleotide long non-coding RNA. RefSeq lists it as uncharacterized. The record is from RefSeq and is a predicted model, not a curated record. The transcript has 2 exons. NCBI's taxonomy places the organism in Eukaryota, Metazoa, Arthropoda, Insecta, Diptera, Culicidae.
CAUGUUCUGAUUUCACAAAAGGUUGAUUCAAAAUUUCAAUUAGCACAAUAAAAAAUUGCCGUAUUUAAAUCUGAUAAUAUGACGAAGCCAUUUCAAAUUGUUUGUGGAAUUGGAGCAUUUUUUGUGCUUAUCACAAGGCUUCAACAAAAAUAUUUGACGGACUUGCAAACAAAUUUAGUAAUGAACUUCCAGAGUACACCAAGGGUUGAAAAUGAUGAUUGUGAAAACAUCAAGAAAGGACUAACAUGAAAUAGAUGAAUUAUGAAAAAUUUAUCAACAACUUUGGAAUUAAACUUUUUUUUUGUA